CCUAGAAUCUUCAGCGUUGGUGCUCGCGGCGGAGGUUCCGAUGCCGCAGUUCAACGGGAAGCAGGGAGGGGAUCGCCACCGGUACUCCCCCAGCCUGCGCUGCCCCCGCAACGGUACGUGGACGGGCCUGUACGGCCCGGCUUUCAUCACCCGUCACUGGAUGGUUCCAUCCGGGAAGACGAUGGAGGUUGGUUCCACAAGCCCGGAUACCGGCCAACACGGUGGCUGCCCC
This 232-nucleotide non-coding RNA is filed under the name Candidatus Symbiobacter mobilis CR. The record is from RNAcentral. RNAcentral also lists the same sequence under 1 other name. Lineage: Bacteria; Pseudomonadati; Pseudomonadota; Betaproteobacteria; Burkholderiales; Comamonadaceae.